CCUACGGGGAGCAGCAGUGAGGAAUAUUGGUCAAUGGGCGGAAGCCUGAACCAGCCAAGUAGCGUGCGGGAUGAAUGCCCUACGGGUCGUAAACCGCUUUUGCACGGGGAUAACAUCCUCCACUUGUGGAGGUCUGCAGGUACCGUGCGAAUAAGGGCCGGCUAAUUCCGUGCCAGCAGCCGCGGUAAUACGGAAGGCCCGAGCGUUAUCCGGUUUCAUUGGGCUAAAAGGGAGCGUAGGAGGGCGUUAAAGUCAGAUGUAAAAUCGGGCGGCUCAACCGCUCCACGCAGUUGAAACUGGGCGCAUUGAGUUCACAGCAGGUAGGCGGAAUUCGUGGUGUAGCGGUGAAAUGCAUAGAUAUCACGAGGAACCCCGAUUGCGAAGGCAGCCUGCCAGGGUGCCACUGACGCUGAUGCUCGAAGGUGCGGGUAUCAAACAGGAUUAGAUACCCGGGUAGUC
This 459-nucleotide ribosomal RNA is filed under the name uncultured bacterium. RNAcentral's name for it is "partial 16S ribosomal RNA". It matches the Rfam family "Bacterial small subunit ribosomal RNA", at positions 338 to 795 of the family's 1533-position model. The record is from RNAcentral.